CGGACUGCAGGCUGCAACCCGCCUGCACGAAGUUGGAAUUGCUAGUAAUCGCGGAUCAGCAUGCCGCGGUGAAUACGUUCCCGGGCUUUGUACACACCGCCCGUCACACCAUGGGAGUUGGGAAUGCCCGAAGUCAGUGACCCAACCGCAAGGAGGGAGCUGCCGAAGGCAGGCUCGAUAACUGGGGUGAAGUCGUAACAAGGUAUC
This 207-nucleotide ribosomal RNA is filed under the name uncultured bacterium. RNAcentral's name for it is "partial 16S ribosomal RNA". It matches the Rfam family "Bacterial small subunit ribosomal RNA", at positions 1294 to 1500 of the family's 1533-position model. The record is from RNAcentral.